UACGUAGGGGCCUAGCGUUGUCCGGAAUUAUUGGGCGUAAAGAGCUCGUAGGCGGUUCGGCAAGUCGGAUGUGAAAUCUCCACGCUUAACGUGGAGGGGCCAUUCGAAACUGCUGUGACUCGAGUCCGGUAGGGGAGUGUGGAAUUCCCGGUGUAGCGGUGAAAUGCGUAGAGAUCGGGAGGAAGGCCGGUGGCGAAGGCGGCGCUCUGGACGGUUACUGACGCUAAGACGCGAAAGCGUGGGGAGCAAACAGG
RNAcentral lists this ribosomal RNA (254 nucleotides) under uncultured bacterium. RNAcentral describes it as "partial 16S ribosomal RNA". It matches the Rfam family "Bacterial small subunit ribosomal RNA", at positions 524 to 776 of the family's 1533-position model. The record is from RNAcentral.